RNAcentral lists this transfer RNA (65 nucleotides) under Microcaldota archaeon. Its description in RNAcentral is "tRNA-Lys". It matches the Rfam family "tRNA". From Rfam's summary of the family: Transfer RNA (tRNA) molecules are approximately 80 nucleotides in length. Their secondary structure includes four short double-helical elements and three loops (D, anti-codon, and T loops). Further hydrogen bonds mediate the characteristic L-shaped molecular structure. tRNAs have two regions of fundamental functional importance: the anti-codon, which is responsible for specific mRNA codon recognition, and the 3' end, to which the tRNAs corresponding amino acid is attached (by aminoacyl-tRNA synthetases). tRNAs cope with the degeneracy of the genetic code in two manners: having more than one tRNA (with a specific anti-codon) for a particular amino acid; and 'wobble' base-pairing, i.e. permitting non-standard base-pairing at the 3rd anti-codon position. Lineage: Archaea; Nanobdellati; Microcaldota. The record is from RNAcentral.
GGGCAGCCUGGUAGAGCAUCCGGCUCUUAACCGGAACGUCACGCGUUCGAAUCGCGUAGGGCCCG